AUUGAACGCUGGCGGCAGGCCUAACACAUGCAAGUCGAGCGGAUGAAGGGAGCUUGCUCCUGGAUUCAGCGGCGGACGGGUGAGUAAUGCCUAGGAAUCUGCCUGGUAGUGGGGGAUAACGUCCGGAAACGGGCGCUAAUACCGCAUACGUCCUGAGGGAGAAAGUGGGGGAUCUUCGGACCUCACGCUAUCAGAUGAGCCUAGGUCGGAUUAGCUAGUUGGUGGGGUAAAGGCCUACCAAGCCGACGAUCCGUAACUGGUCUGAGAGGAUGAUCAGUCACACUGGAACUGAGACACGGUCCAGACGCCUACGGGAGGCAGCAGUGGGGAAUAUUGGACAAUGGGCGAAAGCCUGAUCCAGCCAUGCCGCGUGUGUGAAGAAGGUCUUCGGAUUGUAAAGCACUUUAAGUUGGGAGGAAGGGCAGUAAGUUAAUACCUUGCUGUUUUGACGUUACCAACAGAAUAAGCACCGGCUAACUUCGUG
RNAcentral lists this ribosomal RNA (484 nucleotides) under uncultured bacterium. Its description in RNAcentral is "partial 16S ribosomal RNA". It matches the Rfam family "Bacterial small subunit ribosomal RNA", at positions 30 to 507 of the family's 1533-position model. The record is from RNAcentral.